AUACGGAGGGUGCAAGCGUUGUUCGGAAUCAUAGGGCGUAAAGAGCGCGUAGGCGGCUUGGUAAGUCGGGUGUGAAAUCCCGGGGCCCAACCCCGGAACUGCAUUCGAAACUGCCUCGCUAGAGUCUCGGAGAGGAAGGCGGAAUUCCCGGUGUAGAGGUGAAAUUCGUAGAUAUCGGGAGGAACACCAGCGGCGAAGGCGGCCUUCUGGACGAUGACUGACGCUGAGGUGCGAAAGCGUGGGGAGCAAACAGGAUUAGAAACCCCAGUAGUCC
This 274-nucleotide ribosomal RNA is filed under the name uncultured bacterium. RNAcentral's name for it is "partial 16S ribosomal RNA". It matches the Rfam family "Bacterial small subunit ribosomal RNA", at positions 523 to 796 of the family's 1533-position model. The record is from RNAcentral.